Non-coding RNA from Athelia sp. TMB, 76 nucleotides. NCBI's taxonomy places the organism in Eukaryota, Fungi, Basidiomycota, Agaricomycetes, Atheliales, Atheliaceae. The record is from the annotation of a GenBank genome assembly.
GGCCUGAUGGCGCAGUGGUAAGCGCGUCCGAUUAAAAUCUUUGCGGAAGGCUCCUGUUCGAUUCAGGAUCGGGCCG